GAUGAACGCUGGCGGCGUGCCUAAUACAUGCAAGUCGAGCGAACAGACGAGUAGCUUGCUCCUUUGACGUUAGCGGCGGACGGGUGAGUAACACGUGGGUAACCUACCUAUAAGACUGGGAUAACUUCGGGAAACCGGAGCUAAUACCGGAUAAUAUUUUGAACCGCAUGGUUCGAUAGUGAAAGAUGGGUUUGCUAUCACUUAUAGAUGUAUCCGCUCCGCAUUAGCUAGUUGGUAAGGUAACGGCUUACCAAGGCGGCGAUGGGUAGCCGACCUGAGCGGGGGACGGCCACCAGGGAACGUGGACACCGGCCAAGGGACUGAGGGGAGGCACAGGUGGGAACUGUACGCAAAGGGGGGAAACCUUGCAGAAGAACCGCAAGGGGGUUGCAGAGGGUCUCGGGUCGGGAAAACGUGGUUAUGGGGGAAAACAAAAUUGGAAAGUAACGAAGCGCGAGUGACGGUACCUAAAGAAGAAGCCCCGGCUAACUACGGG
Molecule: ribosomal RNA, 496 nt
Filed under: uncultured bacterium
Lineage: Bacteria
Description: partial 16S ribosomal RNA
Rfam family: Bacterial small subunit ribosomal RNA
Source: RNAcentral